GUAGGGGGCAAGCGUUAUCCGGAUUUACUGGGUGUAAAGGGAGCGUAGACGGCUGUGCAAGUCUGAAGUGAAAGGCAUGGGCUCAACCUGUGGACUGCUUUGGAAACUGUGCAGCUAGAGUGUCGGAGAGGUAAGUGGAAUUCCUAGUGUAGCGGUGAAAUGCGUAGAUAUUAGGAGGAACACCAGUGGCGAAGGCGGCUUACUGGACGAUGACUGACGUUGAGGCUCGAAAGCGUGGGGAGCAAACAGGAUUAGAUACCCUGGUAGUCCACGCCGUAAACGAUGACUGCUAGGUGUCGGGUAGCAAAGCUAUUCGGUGCCGCCGCAAACGCAAUAAGUAUUCCACCUGGGGAGU
This 355-nucleotide ribosomal RNA is filed under the name uncultured bacterium. RNAcentral's name for it is "bacterial SSU rRNA". It matches the Rfam family "Bacterial small subunit ribosomal RNA", at positions 527 to 881 of the family's 1533-position model. The record is from RNAcentral.